CAGGCCUAACACAUGCAAGUCGAACGGGAACCCUUGGAUUCGUCGGGGGGGAGAGUGGCGAACGGGUGAGUAACACGUAGGUGACCUGCCCCAAGAGGGGAAUAACCAUUGGAAACGGUGGCUAAUACCCCAUAUGCUUGGCAUUCGUUUCACCAAGUAAAGCUCCGGCGCUUUGGGAGGGGCCUGCGGCCAUCAGGUAGUUGGCGGGGUAAUGGCCUACCAAGCCUAUGACGGGUAGGGGCGUGAGAGCGUGAUCCCCCACACUGGCACUGAGACACGGGCCAGACUCUACGGGAGGCAGCAGUGAGGAAUAUUGCCCAAUGGACGCAAGUCUGAGGAGCAACGCCGCGUGAGCGAUGAAGGCCUUCGGGUUGUAAAGCUCUUUUCGGGGGACGAGGAGGGACGGUACCUCAGGAAUAAGUCACGGCUAACUACGGCCAGCAGCCGCGGUAAU
Molecule: ribosomal RNA, 454 nt
Filed under: uncultured bacterium
Lineage: Bacteria
Description: bacterial SSU rRNA
Rfam family: Bacterial small subunit ribosomal RNA
Source: RNAcentral